This 351-nucleotide transfer-messenger RNA is filed under the name Thermotalea metallivorans. RNAcentral's name for it is "Standard tmRNA". It matches the Rfam family "transfer-messenger RNA". From Rfam's summary of the family: Bacterial tmRNA, also known as 10Sa RNA or SsrA, is named for its dual tRNA and mRNA-like properties. Its role is to liberate the mRNA from a stalled ribosome. To accomplish this part of the tmRNA is used as a reading frame that ends in a translation stop signal. Lineage: Bacteria; Bacillati; Bacillota; Clostridia; Peptostreptococcales; Thermotaleaceae. The record is from Rfam by way of RNAcentral.
GGGGGCGUACAGGUUUCGACGGGGGUGUGGAGUCAGUAGCAGCGAGUCGUUGUUGCCAAGCAACGUUAAAAGUGGCACCUAAAUAUAAACGCAAACGAAAAUUACGCUUUAGCAGCUUAAUAUAGCUGCUCGUCCUGCCUAGGCUGCCCACGGCUUAGGGCCAGGGCGUCGACCCAGUGGGGAACUGCCUUGGGGGUGUCUCGACCCACAGGCGGAUCUAUCGGGACUGGUUGAUGGCAAAGCCUGUCAUUGGGCGUUGCCGGAGACGAGAUAUCCGUACAAUGACUGCACUCGGAGAAGCUGCUGGCAAAGUGCUUUCGGACAGGGGUUCGAUUCCCCUCGCCUCCACCA